Panicum virgatum (switchgrass) is the source of this 2433-nucleotide long non-coding RNA. RefSeq lists it as uncharacterized. The transcript has 4 exons. Lineage: Eukaryota; Viridiplantae; Streptophyta; Magnoliopsida; Poales; Poaceae. The record is from RefSeq and is a predicted model, not a curated record.
UACAGUGGUAUUCCGUGCGCUUGCGGAUCUAUUCGUGGUUCAUGAAAUACUGCCGUCCCAAAUUGGCGUCUGUGGGCGUCAUCGCUAGGUGACGUUGGUAGGCGCCAACAAGCAUUACUCUGAGCUCGAGUUGGAAACCGUCUGGGUCGUACAUUGGUGUAUCACCGUAGCUAUUUUAUUUCUCAUUAUCGUUUGUAUCGAGUGUCCUCCUCCUCAAAAGUUUGUACGGUGACUGAACCAUCUAUUGAAUAAAUGUGUUAUCAGCCUCCUGAGACUGAUAUUUGUAUCACAUUUAGUCUCUACUUAUGUGGGGACGCUUCAGGCUUGCUAUGCGAGUAGGUGCUUAUAUCAAUUUUACUAAUGAUGGGACUCGUGUGUAUUGUGAAGCUUGUAACAUUCCUAAGAUUUUAGACAGAGAUAGUACAAAUUGGAAUGAUUUGAUAACUAAAAUUGGUUUAGAAAUUAAGCUAGGCUCUAAACACAAGUUGCGUGUCACUUACUGGGACAAAGUGACUCGCAACAAUGAGGAUAUUGCAUCUGACCAGAAAUUGCUUCAUGCAAUUGAUAUGUAUUGGGAGAUAAGAAGGCUCUCAAUGCAAGUGCAUGUUAUGAAAAAGGAUGACUCUAAUAUCAUAUCUGACAUUGGCCGGCAACAGAACAUGCCAUGUGUGUUGCAGCAAAGCACUACUCCACUUGAAAUUGCAUCAGCCCAUGUAGAGCCUCCACUUGAAAUUGCAUCAUCCCUUCCAGAGCCUCCACCUCAAGUGGCUUGGAUUGGUGAUGAUGUGGAGUAUGUUGGUUUGAAUGAUGAGGCCUCUUAUGAGGUUUUGAUUUCUGAUGAUGAAUCAGAUGGUGUAGUAGUGGGUGAUGGUUUGGAUGAUGACUUAGUUGUGGAUGAUGAAAGGGAUUGUCAGUCAAUCAUCCAUGCAACUGACUUACAAAACCCGACAAUUCAAGUUGGUAUAACUUUUGGGGAUGGUGAUACAUUUAAGAAGGCUAUUAGGCAAUAUGUAAUAAAAGGUAUAUAUGAAAUUGCAGCUCCAUAUUCUGAAGCUACAAGAUAUAGAGGUUACUGCAAAGCUGAAUGGUGCAAGUGGCGGAUCCAUGCUUCAUAGUUGCAGGAUGGAAGGACUUGGCAGAUAAAGAAAAUGCCAUAUCAACACACUUGUCAAAGUACUGGAAGAGUCGAGAAGAAUAAAAUGGCAACCAAUCACUGGGUCAGGGAUAGGGUUCUUAACUGGCUUGCAAUAGAUCCUACAAAGGGGGCUACAUACUUGAAAGAGAGGCUGGAGGAAGAGUAUCACGUCAAGUUAUCAUAUUGGUUAGUGUGGGAUGGAAGAAAAAUGAUUUUGGAAGAACUGAACGGCAAGUGGGAUAACAGCUUUGAGCAUGCUGAAAUACCAGAAGAAUAAUUAUCCUUUGUUGACCCUUUUGCUACACCAAGUAGAGCUAUUACUGUAUCUACAUCGAGCCCUGUGACAAAAAGCUAUUGCAUUGUGCUUGUUGAACUAUGUUUUAGGUUCAAACUACAAUUUCACAUGGUUCGAUCAUGCAGUAUGUCAAGGAGGCUGCUGGAAUUUGAAGCUUCUACACCAACUAGAGCUAUUAUUUCUACAAGUACACCAAGCCCUAUGACAAGAAGCCGUAAGAGGUUGCUGGAACUUGAAAGAAAUAUAGAGCCUGUUGCAUGUCUGGCUCUAUCUCCAUCUCCCGUUGCUGUCAAUGAGAAGGGGAAAGCAAAAAAGUUGAAGGUUGUGAGGUCCAAGAAGACAUAGUAUGUAACAACGAAAAAUAUCGCGGGCUAUUAAAAAUAGCGUUUGACCUUUUCUGGCCGCUAUUGGCGCUAUAGUGCCGCUAUGGCCACGCUAUAGCAGCAGCUAAGCGGAGUAGCGUUAGCUGAUUGCUGCUGCUAUAGCACCGCUAUAGCGCGCUAUUUGUUUACAAGUGACAGAAAAAAUAAAAAUCUAUGAUAAGUUGAUAACAAAAUAAUAGCCAACAUAAUUCAUGAAUUUUCAACAUAAUCCAUGAGUUUUUAACAUAAUAACAGCCAACAUAAUCGAUGAUAAGUUGAUACUUGAUAACGUAAGUCAUAAAUGCAAUAAAAGCUAGAUAAGUUCAUAACAGCCGGGCCUUUUUUUAUGAAGUAACGGGCUGCACAUUCUAUUUUAGGCCUGGUAGCAAUAGCGGAAAAAUAGUGGUGCUAUGACGCUAUUCGCAUUUAGUGGCGCAAUAGCGCGAAAUAGCGUCGAUAGCGCCAAUAGCGUGAAUAACAAUAGCUUCGCAACACUUGCUUCGUCCCACUAUAGCGGCGCUAUAGCACGAAAAUAGCGCGCUAUUUUUUUUUCCCAUGGUAUGUAAUUAGGAUCUAGCUUCGUACUACUAGAUAACCAAAUGUGGGUGAACCUGUUAUUUUGUGUGCUUGGAAUGUUUCUG